ACGCUCGACACCUACGGGGCAGCAGUGGGGAAUAUUGCACAAUGGGGGAAACCCUGAUGCAGCGACGCCGCGUGAGCGAAGAAGUAUUUCGGUAUGUAAAGCUCUAUCAGCAGGGAAGAAACUGACGGUACCUGACUAAGAAGCACCGGCUAAAUACGUGCCAGCAGCCGCGGUAAUCUGAGCGGCUGGCAAGGC
Molecule: ribosomal RNA, 195 nt
Filed under: uncultured bacterium
Lineage: Bacteria
Description: partial 16S ribosomal RNA
Rfam family: Bacterial small subunit ribosomal RNA
Source: RNAcentral